CAUAAAGUACAUCUGACACCUCAAAGGCUGAGGUUCUGAAAGAUGAGGGGACAAUGAUGCAGUCACAGGAGACCCUGUCACUCACUGAACCUUCUAGAACACCUCUAGAAUGCUUCCAGAUUUGGACCUCGUCGGUUCUCUGGAACAGCACAGAAGAAGGAUCCUCUCUUAUUGGCAGUGGGGAUCUGGAGAUGCCAUGAUUUCCCCACUUGGACUUGUCCUCUCUGGAUUAAAGUUCAGCAGCAACUUCAGUCCCAGUUGGAAGCCACUGUUUUCUGGUGUGCUGGAGUGCAAGUUUGCACCGUGCCUUCCACGUGUCCCCACUGGAGAGGACUGUGCACAGAGAGGAAGCCAGGGAUGGGGCAUAAGCAGUGCCUAUGCACCCUAAUUCCAAGUGGGGGAGGGUAAGAAUUUAGGGAAUGCAUUGGGGAAAGGGGAGUACGAGAAGUGGAAAUCUGGCCCAAGGGUGAGAACUGGACCAGCCUGGCACCAACAGUAAAAUGACUUGAAACCCAGGCCAGCCACAGCCACAGAUGGGGUCUUGUCCCCACUCUGAGCAAUAUGACCUUUAUUAUCUACAUCAGCAAUGGACAGAAGAUGGGGGACCGAUGGUGGCGGUGCUGGGCUGAGAUUCCAGUCUACGUCCUACACUGCUGAAUUGAGUUGUAAAGAAGCAUAGCACAUGCGUUUUUCAAAUAAGAGGAAGUAGUGCUGUGACAAAUGCAACACACCAUUUAGACAUGACUCUUGAUUUAGAGGAGGUCAUUAAGGGCUUUCUCAAGCCCACAGCAGGGACGGCCAAUGCCGCUGUGGUGCCUGGCCUGUGUCCUGGGUAUCUGGCAUAGGCGCCUUACACGAUGAGCCUCUUCUGUGCCUGGCUGCCUCCUUCCUGGUGAGACCAGAUGGGGAUUUGCUCCUUGGGAGGACACACUGGGCUGCGUUCCUCCUUGAGAAACUAUGUCCCCGAUGAGACUCCCGACAGCCCGUCUGCCUGACCAUGGGCCGCCUCAAUGAUAUGUCUUCUCAACUAUGUGCCUCCCAACCUCAUACCUUAAUCCUGUAGGUUCUCAGUCUCGGAUGUCAUGAUUUUGCCCUGCUCCCAUUGGAAUGACUCACCGGGCUCCCUUCUCCAAACCCCGGCGAAGCUGUUUUGCAAUGCUUAGGGUUAAAGAUUCUCCAUGGCCCCCAGCUUGGGAAGAGCUGCUCACUAAAUAAGGAGGGGGAUUUGUCACCAGGAAUGCCAGUUCCAUAAGCUCCACAAACAAAAAUACCUACUCUCAGGACAAUGAGCCAUCUCGAGGGGACCACAGGCAGGUCUUUAUAAUGCACAUAUUGAUAAAGGAUGAGCUUGUCAUUUCUACAAAGAAGCCUGCUGGGAUUCUGAUAGAGAUUGUGUUACUUCUGAAGAUCAAUCUGGACUCUGAAAAAGAAUAAGAAGAAUAUGCAACAAAGACCUUAUGAAGCCCACAACGCCUAAAAUAUUUACACUCUGGUCCUUUACAGAUAAGCUACUAGAAGCCAACAUGCACCAACAGGUCCAGAAGCAAAGCUUAAGGGAAGACACCAGUACAGAAAAGGCACCCUACUGAAAAUUGUCCUAUUUAUCCCGUUGAUGGAGACCUGGAUCAGAGAAAUGAUUUCUCAACA
This is a long non-coding RNA of Canis lupus familiaris (dog), 1647 nucleotides long. RefSeq lists it as uncharacterized. The record is from RefSeq and is a predicted model, not a curated record. The transcript has 5 exons. Lineage: Eukaryota; Metazoa; Chordata; Mammalia; Carnivora; Canidae.